UUUUCAUGAAGAAUGAGGACAGUUUUUAUGGAUAUACAACUUCUUUAUUCUGUAUAGGCGACGUUUUGACAUAUAUCCUAAUGUCGUUGUCAAUCAAAUAGUGAGGUAGACA
Haliotis rubra (blacklip abalone) is the source of this 112-nucleotide long non-coding RNA. RefSeq lists it as uncharacterized. The transcript has 4 exons. Lineage: Eukaryota; Metazoa; Mollusca; Gastropoda; Lepetellida; Haliotidae. The record is from RefSeq and is a predicted model, not a curated record.